CUGGAAUCUUGCAGGAACAGACCUUCCUUAGCAGCCUGGCUGCACUCAGUCACUGGCUGGGAGCAGCCUGUGGGAAGCCUGGCCUCAGUGCACUCACAGUGGUGGAUUCAGAACCCAGCAGUAAUUACAUUUUCUGCAGCAAGAAGUCUGAGUGGUGCAUUUUCAAGGCCGUCACACAUGCUUUGUUAGCAAAGGGUCAUCUUGGGCUGCUUGUGUCCCUGAACGAAAGGUCCAUGAUCCUCUGACCGUGGCCUUCUCUUCACAACUCCCUCCAUCUGCUGAUGUCUAGGUGAAGUCAGUCAUGAAGAAGCAUUCUUCCACGGGCUGCAUCCUCAGAGACAACGUGACCUGAGACACAUCCGAAUCCUUCUGAUUUCCUUAUCAUGGUCACGCUCCUGCGUUCAGAAUCUUCGUUGUGUCUGAUCAUGAAUUAUUGACAAAGUUCAUUAAAAAAUUUAAUUUGCUUUGCAGUAGGUUUGCUAAUGAUCUAUUUCAGUUUCAUUAUCAUUUCCACUUGCAAAGUGCAUCUAUUUCUUUUGUGAAGAAUUACCCAUUUGUAGUCUCGGAGCCUUUCUUUUAAACUUUUUAUUUGUGUUUAUUUUUAUUUUUAAAGCACGUUAUUAUGGAAUAUUUUUAAACAUUAUAAAUUGAGAGAUUAUAA
This 661-nucleotide long non-coding RNA is filed under the name Equus asinus (donkey). RNAcentral's name for it is "lncRNA (ENSEASG00005032198.1)". Lineage: Eukaryota; Metazoa; Chordata; Mammalia; Perissodactyla; Equidae. The record is from RNAcentral.